RNAcentral lists this long non-coding RNA (246 nucleotides) under Olea europaea subsp. europaea. Lineage: Eukaryota; Viridiplantae; Streptophyta; Magnoliopsida; Lamiales; Oleaceae. The record is from RNAcentral.
CAGGGAAAACUCAUUCUUCCCAACCUGAACCGAGUUCAAAAACGAUUCAACCAGGUCAUUCCCUGACACCACCAUCACUCAAAACCGUAGAUAGUCAUACAGAAUCCCAGAUUUUCAAAUAAAAGUUUCCCAAUCCACUAAUUCUUGUUAUAAUACACCCCACAUAAUACUAAUAAAAGCAACAACUACAUACCCAAAAUUCGAACUAUGUCGUGUCAACACAUUGGCAUUUGGAUAAAGGGAUUU